Molecule: non-coding RNA, 126 nt
Organism: Triticum urartu
Lineage: Eukaryota; Viridiplantae; Streptophyta; Magnoliopsida; Poales; Poaceae
Source: Rfam
GCAGUACUCCCUCCGUCCGAAAAAGCUUGCCCCUCAGAUGAAUGUAUCUAGCACCAAGUUAGUGCUAGAUACAUCCAUUUGAGGGACAAGCUUGUGACAAGCUUUUUCGGACGGAGGGAGUAUGUU